AUACUUACCUGGCAGGGGAGAUACCAUGAUCACGAAGGUGGUUUUCCCAGGGAGAGGCUUAUCCAUUGCACUCUGGAUGUGCUGACCCCUGCGAUUUCUCCAAAUGUGCAAAACUCGACUGCAUAAUUUGUGGUAGUGGGGGACUGCAUUUGCGCUUUCCCCUG
Molecule: small nuclear RNA, 164 nt
Organism: Aotus nancymaae (Ma's night monkey)
Lineage: Eukaryota; Metazoa; Chordata; Mammalia; Primates; Aotidae
Gene: U1
Rfam family: U1 spliceosomal RNA
About the family: U1 is a small nuclear RNA (snRNA) component of the spliceosome (involved in pre-mRNA splicing). Its 5' end forms complementary base pairs with the 5' splice junction, thus defining the 5' donor site of an intron.
Source: Ensembl